This 1325-nucleotide ribosomal RNA is filed under the name metagenome. Its description in RNAcentral is "bacterial LSU rRNA". It matches the Rfam family "Bacterial large subunit ribosomal RNA", at positions 1561 to 2925 of the family's 2925-position model. The record is from RNAcentral.
AGUGGAUGGGGAGCAACCUAUGUUGUGCGUGUGUAAAGGUAGUGCCAAGAAAAGCGAUGAUCAUGUUGAAAAUCAAUUCCCGGUACCCGAAACCGACACAGGUGGGCAAGUAGAGGAUACUAAGGGGCGCGAGGUAACUCUCUCCAAGGAACUCGGCAAAAUGACCCCGUAACUUAGGGAGAAGGGGUGCCACCGAGAGGUGGUCGCAGUGAAGAGGCCCAGGCGACUGUUUAGCAAAAACAUAGGUCUCUGCAAACUCGAAGAGGAGGUAUAGGGGCUGACGCCUGCCCAGUGCCGGAAGGUUAAAGAAGUUGGUCAGUUUUAGGAUGAAGCUAGCGACUGAAGCCCCGGUGAACGGCGGCCGUAACUAUAACGGUCCUAAGGUAGCGAAAUUCCUUGUCGGGUAAGUUCCGACCCACACGAAAGGCGUAACGAUCUGGGCGCUGUCUCGGAGAGAGGCUCGGCGAAAUAGGAUUGUCUGUGAAGAUACGGACUACCUGCAUUUGGACAGAAAGACCCUAUGAAGCUUUACUAUAGCUUGGAAUUGUGUUCGGGCUUCCUGUGCGCAGGAUAGGUGGGAGGCGUAGAAGGUAUUCUUGUGGGGAUACUGGAGCCAACGGUGAGAUACCACUCUCAGGAGGCUAGAAUUCUAACUUAAUUAAGGACAGUUUCAGGUGGGUAGUUUGACUGGGGCGGUCGCCUCCAAAAAGGUAACGGAGGCGUACAAAGGUUCCCUCAGACUGGUUGGAAAUCAGUCGAAGAGUGCAAAGGCAGAAGGGAGCUUGACUGCGAGAAGUACAGUUCGAGCAGGGUGGAAACACGGUCUUAGUGAUUCGACGGUGCUGUGUGGAAGGGCCGUCGCUCAACGGAUAAAAGUUACUCUAGGAUAACAGGCUGAUCUCCCCCAAGAGUUCACAUCGACGGGGAGGUUUGGCACCUCGAUGUCGGCUCAUCGCAACCUGGGGCGGAAGUACGUCCCAAGGGUUGGGCUGUUCGCCCAUUAAAGCGGUACGUGAGCUGGGUUCAGAACGUCGUGAGACAGUUCGGUCCAUAUCCGAUGUAGGCGUGAGAAUAUUGAGAGGAGCCUUCCUUAGUACGAGAGGACCGGGAAGGACGCACCGCUGGUGUACCUGUUAUGAUGCCAAUUGUAAACGCAGGGUAGCCAAGUGCGGAGAGGAUAACCGCUGAAAGCAUCUAAGUGGGAAGCCCACCUCAAGAUGAGUAUUCUGGUGUAAGGUCACGGGAAGACGACCCGUAAAUAGGCACGAGGUGGAAGUGCAGAGAUGUAUGAAGCCGAAGUGUACUAAUAGACCGUCGGCUUGAAC